AUACCAUGGUGAGGACACAUACUCAACAAUUCCUUAAACUUCUCCCAAGCUUGAUACAAAGUCUCACUAUCCUUUUGUGCAAAGAUGGAGAUCAGCAUUUUCAAAGGGU
This is a small nucleolar RNA of Juglans microcarpa x Juglans regia, 109 nucleotides long. The record is from RefSeq and is a predicted model, not a curated record. Lineage: Eukaryota; Viridiplantae; Streptophyta; Magnoliopsida; Fagales; Juglandaceae.